This 253-nucleotide ribosomal RNA is filed under the name uncultured bacterium. Its description in RNAcentral is "partial 16S ribosomal RNA". It matches the Rfam family "Bacterial small subunit ribosomal RNA", at positions 524 to 776 of the family's 1533-position model. The record is from RNAcentral.
UACGUAGGGGGCUAGCGUUGUCCGGAUUUAUUGGGCGUAAAGAGCGUGUAGGCGGCCAGGUAGGUCUGCUGUGAAACCUCGAGGCUCAACCUCGAGACGUCGGCGGAAACCAUCUGGCUAGAGUCCGGAAGAGGAGAGUGGAAUUCCUGGUGUAGCGGUGAAAUGCGCAGAUAUCAGGAAGAACACCCGUGGCGAAGGCGGCUCUCUGGGACGGUACUGACGCUGAGACGCGAAAGCGUGGGGAGCGAACAGG